RNAcentral lists this ribosomal RNA (452 nucleotides) under uncultured bacterium. RNAcentral's name for it is "bacterial SSU rRNA". It matches the Rfam family "Bacterial small subunit ribosomal RNA", at positions 28 to 487 of the family's 1533-position model. The record is from RNAcentral.
GACGAACGCUGGCGGCGUGCUUAACACAUGCAAGUCGAGCGGAAAGGCCCUUCGGGGUACUCGAGCGGCGAACGGGUGAGUAACACGUGAGUAAUCUGCCCUUGGCUUUGGGAUAACUACCGGAAACGGUGGCUAAUACCGGAUACGACGACCGCCUGCAUGGGCUGGUUGUGGAAAGUUUUUUCGGCCAGGGAUGUGCUCGCGGCCUAUCAGCUUGUUGGUGGGGUAAUGGCCUACCAAGGCUUCGACGGGUAGCCGGCCUGAGAGGGUGACCGGCCACACUGGGACUGAGACACGGCCCAGACUCCUACGGGAGGCAGCAGUGGGGAAUAUUGGACAAUGGGCGGAAGCCUGAUCCAGCAACGCCGCGUGAGGGAUGACGGCCUUCGGGUUGUAAACCUCUUUCAGUAUCGACGAAGCGCCGAUGAUGGUGGUGACGGUAGGUACAGAAG